CGCGCCAGGGGUCUCCGAGCUAUUUUGCCUAAAACGUUCUGUCAUGGCAGAUAGCCUGAGUUUUAAACUCACGGGGUAUGUUUGGAAACGAGCAUGCCUUCACAUUUUUUGAAAAGGAGGAAAACGUGAAAAGGU
Molecule: non-coding RNA, 135 nt
Filed under: Thermodesulfobium narugense
Lineage: Bacteria; Pseudomonadati; Thermodesulfobiota; Thermodesulfobiia; Thermodesulfobiales; Thermodesulfobiaceae
Also listed under: 1 other name
Description: MoCo sequence
Rfam family: Molybdenum/Tungsten riboswitch aptamer (Moco RNA motif)
Source: RNAcentral